GACGAACGCUGGCGGCGUGCUUAACACAUGCAAGUCGAGCGGUAAGGCCCUUUCGGGGGUACACGAGCGGCGAACGGGUGAGUAACACGUGGGUGACCUGCCUUUAGCUCUGGGAUAAGCCUGGGAAACCGGGUCUAAUACCGGGAUAUGACUCCGCGGCGCAUGUUGUGGGGUGGAAAGCCUUGUGCGGCUGGAGAUGGGCCCGCGGCCUAUCAGCUU
This 219-nucleotide ribosomal RNA is filed under the name uncultured bacterium. Its description in RNAcentral is "partial 16S ribosomal RNA". It matches the Rfam family "Bacterial small subunit ribosomal RNA", at positions 28 to 247 of the family's 1533-position model. The record is from RNAcentral.